This 409-nucleotide ribosomal RNA is filed under the name uncultured bacterium. Its description in RNAcentral is "bacterial SSU rRNA". It matches the Rfam family "Bacterial small subunit ribosomal RNA", at positions 64 to 522 of the family's 1533-position model. The record is from RNAcentral.
GAGCGCCCCGCAAGGGGAGCGGCAGACGGGAGAGUACACGUGGGAACGUACCCUUCAGUUCGGAACAACCCAGGGAAACUUGGGCUAAUACCGAAUACGUCCGUAAGGAGAAAGAUUUAUCGCUGAAGGAUCGGCCCGCGUCUGAUUAGCUUGUUGGUGAGGUAACGGCUCACCAAGGCUACGAUCAGUAGCUGGUCUGAGAGGAUGAUCAGCCUCACUGGGACUGAGACACGGCCCAGACUCCUACGGGAGGCAGCAGUGGGGAAUAUUGGACAAUGGGCGCAAGCCUGAUCCAGCCAUGCCGCGUGGGUGAUGAAGGCCCUAGGGUUGUAAAGCCCUUUCGGCGGGGAAGAUAAUGACGGUACCCGCAGAAGAAGCCCCGGCUAACUUCGUGCCAGCAGCCGCGGUA